GGGUUGUGAGGUUAAGCGACUAAGCGUACACGGUGGAUGCCCUGGCAGUCAGAGGCGAUGAAGGACGUGCUAAUCUGCGAAAAGCGUCGGUAAGGUGAUAUGAACCGUUACAGCCGGCGAUGUCCGAAUGGGGAAACCCAGUGCAAUUCGUUGCACUAUCGUUAACUGAAUACAUAGGUUAACGAGGCGAACCGGGGGAACUGAAACAUCUAAGUACCCCGAGGAAAAGAAAUCAACCGAGAUUCCCCCAGUAGCGGCGAGCGAACGGGGAGCAGCCCAGAGUCUGAAUCAGCUUGUGUGUUAGUGGAACGGUCUGGAAAGUCCGACGGUACAGGGUGAUAGUCCCGUACACCAAAAUGCACAGGUUGUGAACUCGAAGAGUAGGGCGGGACACGUGGUAUCCUGUCUGAAUAUGGGGGGACCAUCCUCCAAGGCUAAAUACUCCUGACUGACCGAUAGUGAACCAGUACCGUGAGGGAAAGGCGAAAAGAACCCCGGCGAGGGGAGUGAAAAAGAACCUGAAACCGUGUACGUACAAGCAGUGGGAGCACCUUCGGGUGUGACUGCGUACCUUUUGUAUAAUGGGUCAGCGACUUAUAUUCUGUAGCAAGGUUAACCGUAUAGGGGAGCCGCAGGGAAACCGAGUCUUAACUGGGCGUUAAGUUGCAGGGUAUAGACCCGAAACCCGGUGAUCUAGCCAUGGGCAGGUUGAAGGUUGGGUAACACUAACUGGAGGACCGAACCGACUAAUGUUGAAAAAUUAGCGGAUGACUUGUGGCUGGGGGUGAAAGGCCAAUCAAACCGGGAGAUAGCUGGUUCUCCCCGAAAGCUAUUUAGGUAGCGCCUCGUGAACUCAUCUUCGGGGGUAGAGCACUGUUUCGGCUAGGGGGUCAUCCCGACUUACCAACCCGAUGCAAACUACGAAUACCGAAGAAUGUUAUCACGGGAGACACACGGCGGGUGCUAACGUCCGUCGUGAAGAGGGAAACAACCCAGACCGCCAGCUAAGGUCCCAAAGUCAUGGUUAAGUGGGAAACGAUGUGGGAAGGCACAGACAGCCAGGAUGUUGGCUUAGAAGCAGCCAUCAUUUAAAGAAAGCGUAAUAGCUCACUGGUCGAGUCGGCCUGCGCGGAAGAUGUAACGGGCUAAACCAUGCACCGAAGCUGCGGCAGCGACACUAUGUGUUGUUGGGUAGGGGAGCGUUCUGUAAGCCUGCGAAGGUGUGCUGUGAGGCAUGCUGGAGGUAUCAGAAGUGCGAAUGCUGACAUAAGUAACGAUAAAGCGGGUGAAAAGCCCGCUCGCCGGAAGACCAAGGGUUCCUGUCCAACGUUAAUCGGGGCAGGGUGAGUCGACCCUAAGGCGAGGCCGAAAGGCGUAGUCGAUGGGAAACAGGUUAAUAUUCCUGUACUUGGUGUUACUGCGGGGGGGACGGAGAAGGCUAUGUUAGCCGGGCGACGGUUGUCCCGGUUUAAGCAUGUAGGCUGGUUAUCCAGGCAAAUCCGGAUAAUCAAGGCUGAGGUGUGAUGACGAGGCACUACGGUGCUGAAGUAACAAAUGCCCUGCUUCCAGGAAAAGCCUCUAAGCAUCAGGUAACAUCAAAUCGUACCCCAAACCGACACAGGUGGUCAGGUAGAGAAUACCAAGGCGCUUGAGAGAACUCGGGUGAAGGAACUAGGCAAAAUGGUGCCGUAACUUCGGGAGAAGGCACGCUGGUGUGUAGGUGAAGUCCCUGCGGAUGGAGCUGAGACCAGUCGAAGAUACCAGCUGGCUGCAACUGUUUAUUAAAAACACAGCACUGUGCAAACACGAAAGUGGACGUAUACGGUGUGACGCCUGCCCGGUGCCGGAAGGUUAAUUGAUGGGGUUAUCCGUAAGGAGAAGCUCUUGAUCGAAGCCCCGGUAAACGGCGGCCGUAACUAUAACGGUCCUAAGGUAGCGAAAUUCCUUGUCGGGUAAGUUCCGACCUGCACGAAUGGCGUAAUGAUGGCCAGGCUGUCUCCACCCGAGACUCAGUGAAAUUGAACUCGCUGUGAAGAUGCAGUGUACCCGCGGCAAGACGGAAAGACCCCGUGAACCUUUACUAUAGCUUGACACUGAACAUUGAGCCUUGAUGUGUAGGAUAGGUGGGAGGCUUUGAAGCGUGGACGCCAGUCUGCGUGGAGCCAACCUUGAAAUACCACCCUUUAAUGUUUGAUGUUCUAACGUUGGCCCCUGACCGGGGUUGCGGACAGUGUCUGGUGGGUAGUUUGACUGGGGCGGUCUCCUCCCAAAGCGUAACGGAGGAGCACGAAGGUUAGCUAAUCGGUCGGACAUCAGGAGGUUAGUGCAAUGGCAUAAGCUAGCUUGACUGCGAGCGUGACGGCGCGAGCAGGUGCGAAAGCAGGUCAUAGUGAUCCGGUGGUUCUGAAUGGAAGGGCCAUCGCUCAACGGAUAAAAGGUACUCCGGGGAUAACAGGCUGAUACCGCCCAAGAGUUCAUAUCGACGGCGGUGUUUGGCACCUCGAUGUCGGCUCAUCACAUCCUGGGGCUGAAGUAGGUCCCAAGGGUAUGGCUGUUCGCCAUUUAAAGUGGUACGCGAGCUGGGUUUAGAACGUCGUGAGACAGUUCGGUCCCUAUCUGCCGUGGGCGCUGGAGAAUUGAGGGGGGCUGCUCCUAGUACGAGAGGACCGGAGUGGACGCAUCACUGGUGUUCGGGUUGUCAUGCCAAUGGCACUGCCCGGUAGCUAAAUGCGGAAGAGAUAAGUGCUGAAAGCAUCUAAGCACGAAACUUGCCCCGAGAUGAGUUCUCCCUGAGACUAUAAGUCUCCUGAAGGAACGUUAAAGACGAUGACGUUGAUAGGCCGGGUGUGUAAGCGCAGCGAUGCGUUGAGCUAACCGGUACUAAUGAACCGUGAGGCUUAACCUUACAACGCCGAAG
This 2917-nucleotide ribosomal RNA is filed under the name Klebsiella pneumoniae. Its description in RNAcentral is "23S ribosomal RNA". It matches the Rfam family "Bacterial large subunit ribosomal RNA". Lineage: Bacteria; Pseudomonadati; Pseudomonadota; Gammaproteobacteria; Enterobacterales; Enterobacteriaceae. The record is from RNAcentral.